This 253-nucleotide ribosomal RNA is filed under the name uncultured bacterium. Its description in RNAcentral is "partial 16S ribosomal RNA". It matches the Rfam family "Bacterial small subunit ribosomal RNA", at positions 524 to 776 of the family's 1533-position model. The record is from RNAcentral.
UACGAAGGGGGCUAGCGUUGUUCGGAAUUACUGGGCGUAAAGCGCGUGUAGGCGGGUCUUCAAGUCAGGGGGGAAAUGCCAAGGCUCAACCUUGGAACUGCCUUUGAUACUGGAGGUCUUGAGUCCGGGAGAGGUGAGUGGAACUGCGAGUGUAGAGGUGAAAUUCGUAGAUAUUCGCAAGAACACCAGUGGCGAAGGCGGCUCACUGGCCCGAUACUGACGCUGAGGCACGAAAGCGUGGGGAGCAAACAGG